RNAcentral lists this non-coding RNA (18 nucleotides) under Sarcophilus harrisii (Tasmanian devil). Its record names the gene sha-miR-92a. Lineage: Eukaryota; Metazoa; Chordata; Mammalia; Dasyuromorphia; Dasyuridae. RNAcentral also lists the same sequence under 1 other name. The record is from miRBase by way of RNAcentral.
UAUUGCACUUGUCCCGGC